AUGAAGAAGAUAACAAGAAGAUGCAUUGGUAUUCUUGGUGGAAGCUAUGUUUCCCAGAGUGAAGGUGGGACGAGAUUUCGAGAUUUAUAUUCGUUUAAUCUUGCUCUCUUGGCGAAACAAUGCUAGAGAUUGAUAACGAACCUGGACUCGCUUUGUGCUAGGAUUUUAAAGGCAAAGUAUUUCCCAAAUUGUGACAUUCUCCUAGCAGGGCCGAAAAAGGGAUCUUCCUUCACUUGGCAGAGUAUCAUUGUGGGGUUAGCUUGCUUUAAACGUGGAUACAUAUGGAGAAUAGGAAUGGGAGAAAAUGUUGACAUAUGGGCUGACCCGUAGAUACCUUCAAGCCCCAAAAGGAUGAUUAUUACUCUGCGAAAUCAGUCUAUUUUAACAAAGGUUUCUGAACUAGUUAAUCCUAUUACCCAAACGCGGGAUGAGCAAUUGCUUCAAGACAAUUUUAACCCCAUGGAUGUUCGAAGGAUCUUGCAAAUACCCUUACACCUUCAAGAAUUUGAUGAUUUUGCGCCUGGCAUCUGA
RNAcentral lists this ribosomal RNA (531 nucleotides) under Triticum aestivum (bread wheat). RNAcentral's name for it is "partial small subunit ribosomal RNA". Lineage: Eukaryota; Viridiplantae; Streptophyta; Magnoliopsida; Poales; Poaceae. The record is from RNAcentral.